This 73-nucleotide transfer RNA is filed under the name Camelus bactrianus (Bactrian camel). It matches the Rfam family "tRNA". From Rfam's summary of the family: Transfer RNA (tRNA) molecules are approximately 80 nucleotides in length. Their secondary structure includes four short double-helical elements and three loops (D, anti-codon, and T loops). RNAcentral also lists the same sequence under 3 other names. Lineage: Eukaryota; Metazoa; Chordata; Mammalia; Artiodactyla; Camelidae. The record is from Rfam by way of RNAcentral.
GCAGGGAUAGCUCAGUGGCAGAGCACAUGCUUAGCAUGCAUGAGGGUCCUCGGUUCAAUCCUCAGUACCUCCA